This 3044-nucleotide ribosomal RNA is filed under the name Acidobacteriota bacterium. RNAcentral's name for it is "Acidobacteria bacterium 23S ribosomal RNA". It matches the Rfam family "Bacterial large subunit ribosomal RNA". Lineage: Bacteria; Pseudomonadati; Acidobacteriota. The record is from RNAcentral.
UGUAUGGUCAAGCUACUAAGGGUAAACGGUGGAUGCCUUGGCGUCGAGCGGCGAUGAAGGACGUAGCAAGCUACGAAAAGCCUCGGGGAGCCGCAAGCAGGCUGUGAUCCGGGGAUGUCCGAAUGGGGGAACCCUACUGGGGUCAUGCCCAGUAACCUCUUGGCUGAAUACAUAGGCCUCGAGGAGCCAACCCGGGGAAGUGAACCAUCUCAGUACCCGGAGGAAGAGAAAGCAAACGCGAUUCCGUCAGUAGCGGCGAGCGAAAGCGGAUCAGCCUAAACCAUGCACGUGCCAAGCUGGCGGGCGUUGCGUGCGUGGUGUCGUGGGGUCCGAUGUGAUCCGGCUGCCACCGGGUCGAGGAGUUACAAAACGUCCAUCUAGUGGAGCGGUCUGGAACGGCCGGCCACAGAGGGUGAGAGCCCCGUACACGAAAGGUGCGACGACUCCUUAUUCGGGUCCCCGAGUACCACGGGACACGUGGAACCCUGUGGGAAUUCGGGAGGACCAUCUCCCAAGGCUAAAUACGUCUCGACGACCGAUAGUGAACCAGUACCGUGAGGGAAAGGUGAAAAGCACCCCUGUGAGGGGAGUGAAAUAGUACCUGAAACCGUUUACCUACAAGCAGUGGAAGGGCUAUGUCCUGCAGCAAUGCAGGAAAUGCCUAACCGCGUGCCUUUUGCAUAAUGAGCCGGCUAGUUACUCUCGGCGGCAAGGUUAAGCACUUUGCGAAGCCGCAGCGAAAGCGAGUCUGAAUAGGGCGAUUCAGUCGUCGGGAGUAGACGCGAAGCGGGAUGAUCUACCCUUGGCCAGGAUGAAGCGUGGGUAACACCACGUGGAGGUCCGAACUAGUGUUGGUUGAAAACAACUUGGAUGAGCUGAGGGUAGGGGUGAAAGGCCAAUCAAAUUCCGUGAUAGCUCGUUCUCCCCGAAAUAGCUUUAGGGCUAGCCUCGCGUGGUUCGUGGCGGUGGUAGAGCACUGGAUGGGUUAGGGACCUUACCCGGUUACCGACCCCAACCAAACUCCGAAUGCCGCCAACGUCAAGCGCGGGAGUCAGACGGCGGGGGAUAAGCUUCGUCGUCAAAAGGGAAAGAACCCAGACCGCCAGCUAAGGUCCCCAAGUCACGGCUAAGUGGUAAAGGAUGUGGGGUUGCUCGGACAUCCAGGAGGUUGGCUUAGAAGCAGCCAUCCUUUAAAGAAAGCGUAAUAGCUCACUGGUCUAGCGAUCCUGUGCCGAAAAUUCAACGGGGCUCAAGCCGUGCACCGAAGCUGCGGAUCUCUUCCACCCGAGGGUGGGAGAGGUGGUAGGGGAGCGUUCCAUGCGGGAUGAAGUCAGACCGUAAGGACUGGUGGACCUCAUGGAAGUGACUCUGCCGGCAUAAGUAGCGAUAAAGCAGACGAGAACUCUGCUCGCCGGAAGCCUAAGGUUUCCUGAGCAAGGUCAAUCCGCUCAGGGUCAGUCGGUCCCUAAGGCGAGGCCGAACGGCGUAGUCGAUGGGAAGCAGGUUAACAUUCCUGCACCACUCUGUCCUCGUUAUCACGAUGGGGUGACGCAGAAGGAUAGGUCGGACUGCCAUUGGAUGUGCAGUUUGAAGCGUGUAGGCGGGAGUGGUAGGCAAAUCCGCCGCUCCGUUAACGCCGAGACGCGAUAUCGAGGGCGCAAGCCCGCAAAGCGACUGAUUCCACGCUGCCAAGAAAAACCUCUAAGGAGAGGGCAGGGUGACCGUACCGGAAUCGGACACACGUAGGCAGGGAGAGAAUCCCGAGGCGCUUGAGUGAUCCCCCGUAAAGGAACUCGGCAAAAUUACACCGUAACUUCGGGAGAAGGUGUGCUCUUUGCCGUGUAGACCCUCGCGGUCGAAGCGGUGGAGAGUCGCAGUGAAAAGGCCCAGGCGACUGUUUACUAAAAACACAGCACUCUGCAAACGUCACAAGCGGACGUAUAGGGUGUGAAGCCUGCCCGGUGCCGGAAGGUUAAGGGGAGGGGUCAUUCCCGCGCAAGCGGGAAGAAGCUCUGAACUGAAGCCCCGGUAAACGGCGGCCGUAACUAUAACGGUCCUAAGGUAGCGAAAUUCCUUGUCGGGUAAGUUCCGACCUGCACGAAAGGCGAAACGAUCUGGGCGCUGUCUCUACGGGGGGCUCAGCGAAUUUGAAGUACCGGUGAAGAUGCCGGUUACCCGCACCUAGACGGAAAGACCCUGUGCACCUUUACUACAACUUGUCACUGGACCUUGGUGUUGUAUGUGCAGAAUAGGUGGGAGGCUGUGAAGCCGGGGCGUCAGCUUCGGUGGAGCCGUCGGUGAGAUACCACCCUUACUGCUCCGAGGUUCUAACCUAGGGCCGUGAAGCCGGCCCGGGGACAAUGGCAGGUGGGUAGUUUGACUGGGGCGGUCGCCUCACAAACUGUAACUGAGGCGCCCAAAGGUUCCCUCAGGCUGAUUGGAAACCAGCCGUAGAGUGCAAAGGCACAAGGGAGCUUGACUGCGAGACCAACAAGUCGAGCAGGGACGAAAGUCGGGCUUAGUGAUCCGGCGGUCCCGUAUGGAAGGGCCGUCGCUCAACGGAUAAAAGGUACGCCGGGGAUAACAGGCUGAUCCUGCCCAAGAGUUCACAUCGACGGCGGGGUUUGGCACCUCGAUGUCGGCUCAUCGCAUCCUGGGGCUGAAGCAGGUCCCAAGGGUUCGGCUGUUCGCCGAUUAAAGCGGUACGUGAGCUGGGUUUAGAACGUCGCGAGACAGUUCGGUCCCUAUCUGGUGUGGGCGGAGGACACUUGAGGAGAGAUGUCCUUAGUACGAGAGGACCAGGACGUACGGACCUCCAGUGUACCAGUUGUCGCGCCAGCGGCAGCGCUGGGUAGCUGUGUCCGGAAGGGAUAACCGCUGAAUGCAUCUAAGCGGGAAGCCAACUCCAAGAUUAGGUGUCCCUCCUGCAUAGCAGGACUAAAGGCCUCUGGUAGAUGACCAGUUUGAUAGGCGGGAGGUGGAAGCGCAGCGAUGCGUGUAGCUGACCCGUACUAAUCGGCCGUGCGGCUUGACCAUACACACCC